Molecule: small RNA, 1476 nt
Filed under: Pongo abelii (Sumatran orangutan)
Lineage: Eukaryota; Metazoa; Chordata; Mammalia; Primates; Hominidae
Description: retained intron
Source: RNAcentral
CUCUCUCUUUUUCUGUUGUACUUCAGGAGCUGAUGCAAAACAGUCGGUGUGUGCUGAGCAAAUGGAAGAACAAAUAUGUCUGUCAGCUCCUCUUUGGUUCAGGUGUGCUGGUGUCUCUAAGCCUUUCUGGGCCACAGCUGGAGAAAGUGGUGAUUGACAGAAGCCUGGUGGGGAAGCUCAUCUCAGACACCAUCAGUGAUGCUCUUCUCACAGACAGUUUUAUCAUCUUAUCAUUUUUGGCACAAAACAAACUAUGUUUUAUUCAGUUUACCAAGAAGAUGGAUUCUUCUGAUGUAAACAAAAGACUGGAAAAACUCUCAGCCUUGGAUUAUAAGAUUUUCUAUUAUGAAAUACCCGGCCCAAUAAACAAGACAACAGAGCGACAUCUAGCUAUCAACUGUGUUCAUGAUAGAGUUGUUUGCUGGUGGCCACUGGUCAACGAUGAUGCUUGGCCUUGGGCCCCCAUUUCUUCUGAGAAGGACAGAGCCAAUCUACUCCUCCUGGGUUAUGCUCAAGGAAGACUAGAGGUUCUGAGUUCUGUCCGCACAGAAUGGGACCCACUGGAUGUUCGCUUUGGCACCAAACAGCCUUAUCAGGUGUUCACAGUGGAGCACUCCAUAAGUGUAGACAAAGAGCCUAUGGCUGACAGCUGCAUCUAUGAAUGCAUUCGGAAUAAAAUCCAGUGUGUGUCAGUCACCAGAAUACCACUAAAGUCAAAGGCCAUCAGCUGCUGCAGGAAUGUUACUGAAGACAAACUGAUUCUGGGCUGUGAAGAUUCUUCGCUAAUUCUUUAUGACACUCACCGUAGAGUGACUCUCUUAGCACAGACUGAACUUUUGCCUUCAUUAAUAAGCUGCCACCCAAGUGGUGCCAUUCUGCUAGUUGGCAGCAACCAAGGGGAGUUGCAAAUUUUUGAUACGGCUCUAUCCCCUAUUAACAUCCAACUAUUGGCUGAAGACUGCUUACCCAGGGAGACUCUGCAAUUCAAUAAAUUAUUUGAUGCCUCCAGCAGUCUUGUUCAAAUGCAAUGGAUAGCUCCUCAGGUUGUUUCUCAGAAGGGUGAAGGUAGUGAUAUCUAUGAUCUCCUCUUCCUCAGGUUUGAAAGAGGACCUUUGGGUGUGCUGUUGUUUAAACUAGGUAAGUCAAGGAAAGUGAUGAGUAAGUAAAUUAAAGUGUUUAUGAUAGUGACAUAAUUAAGGCAAUAAAACUAUUCUUAGAAUGUAUAUUUUUCUAUUUAUCAUCCCAUAAAUAUGUUUGCCUUUCAAAUAUCCAUAUAGUUUCCUUUUGUGGAUGACUUUCUAACUGCCAAAGGAGCACUAGAUAUUGAAUAAUUUGGAAAUUACACUAAUUGUCAAUUAUGAUGCUUCAAAAGCCCUAACUUUUACAUUUGAUACGCUCUAAAAUAAACUACACUACUAAAUAAUUCCUUAAGAAAUAGACAUGUGAAUAUUUUAAAAGGACUUACUUUGUCCAUUG